RNAcentral lists this ribosomal RNA (492 nucleotides) under uncultured bacterium. RNAcentral describes it as "partial 16S ribosomal RNA". It matches the Rfam family "Bacterial small subunit ribosomal RNA", at positions 29 to 507 of the family's 1533-position model. The record is from RNAcentral.
AGUGAACGCUGGCGGCAGGCCUAACACAUGCAAGUCGAGCGGUAGCACAGUAAGGCUUUCUCCCUACGUGACGCGCGUCGCACGGGGGAGAAGUGUCCAUGAGACUGUCCUUUUUAGGGGGGGAACUACUGGAAACGGUAACUCAUACACCAUAACGUCCCAAGAGCAAAAAGGAGGACAUCCUGGCCCCUUGCGCGCAUGAGUGCCCCGAUGUCGGAUUAGCUAGUUGGUGGGGUAAUGGCUCACCUAGGCGACGAUCCGUAGCUGGUCUGAGAGGAUGAUCAGCCACACUGGAACUGAGACACGGUCCAGACUCCUACGGGAGGCAGCAGUGGGGAAUAUUGGACAAUGGGCGCAAGCCUGAUGCAGCCAUGCCGCGUGUGUGAAGAAGGCCUUCGGGUUGUAAAGCCCUUUUGUUGAGGAAGAAGGUCGUCAGCUUAAUACGCUCAUGUAUUGACGGUACUCGAAGAAGAAGCACCGGCUAACUCCGUG